UACGUAGGGGGCGAGCGUUGUCCGGAAUCAUUGGGCGUAAAGAGCGUGUAGGUGGACUGGAAGGUCUGGUGUGAAAGCCCCGGGGGCUCAACCCCCGGAGGGUCACCGGAAACCGACAGUCUUGAGUCCGGAAGAGGAGAGUGGAAUCCUGGUGUAGCGGUGGAAUGCGCAGAUAUCAGGAGGAACACCGAUGGCGAAGGCAGCUCUCUGGUAACGUGAC
Molecule: ribosomal RNA, 220 nt
Filed under: uncultured bacterium
Lineage: Bacteria
Description: partial 16S ribosomal RNA
Rfam family: Bacterial small subunit ribosomal RNA
Source: RNAcentral